AAACAUCGCCUCCUGAAUAAUUAUAGGAGGUCCAGCCUGCCCAGUGACAAAGUUCAACGGCCGCGGUACCCUAACCGUGCGAAGGUAGCAUAAUCACUUGUUCUUUAAAUGAGGACUAGUAUCAACGGCAUCACGAGGACCAUACUGUCUCCCCUCUCCAGUCAGUGAAACUGAUCUCCCCGUGAAGAAGCUGGGAUAAACCUAUAAGACGAGAAGACCCCAUGGAGCUUUAAACCCGAUAUACACCUCUGCAAAACCAGACCAAUCUAGCCACAAAGGCAUGUAUACCGGUUUUAGGUUGGGGGGACCGCGGAGUAAAACUAAACCUCCACGACAAACGGGCUAACGCCCUGAUCCAAGAACCACACUUCUAAGAGCCAAUAUAUUGUUGUUCAUGACUCCAAUAUUUGAUUAACGAACCAAGUUACCCUGGGGAUAACAGCGCAAUCUACUUUGAGAGCCCCUAUCGACAAGUGGGUUUACGACCUCGAUGUUGGAUCAGGGUGUCCAACUGGCGCAGCCGCUACUAAAGGUUCGUU
RNAcentral lists this ribosomal RNA (539 nucleotides) under Amolops terraorchis. RNAcentral describes it as "partial large subunit ribosomal RNA". It matches the Rfam family "Bacterial large subunit ribosomal RNA", at positions 1811 to 2577 of the family's 2925-position model. The record is from RNAcentral. Lineage: Eukaryota; Metazoa; Chordata; Amphibia; Anura; Ranidae.